Molecule: ribosomal RNA, 253 nt
Filed under: uncultured bacterium
Lineage: Bacteria
Description: partial 16S ribosomal RNA
Rfam family: Bacterial small subunit ribosomal RNA
Source: RNAcentral
UACGUAGGGUGCGAGCGUUGUCCGGAAUUAUUGGGCGUAAAGGGCUCGUAGGCGGUUUGUCGCGUCGGGAGUGAAAACUCAGGGCUUAACCCUGAGCCUGCUUCCGAUACGGGCAGACUAGAGGUAUGCAGGGGAGAACGGAAUUCCUGGUGUAGCGGUGAAAUGCGCAGAUAUCAGGAGGAACACCUGUGGCGAAGGCGGCCGACUGGGCCGACCCUGACGCUGAGGCGCGAAGGCGUGGGGAGCGAACGGG